GGAAACCGGAGCUAAUACCGGAUAAUAUUUUGAACCGCAUGGUUCAAAAGUGAAAGACGGUCUUGCUGUCACUUAUAGAUGGAUCCGCGCUGUAUUAGCUAGUUGGUGAGGUAAAGGCUCACCAAGGCGACGAUACAUAGCCGACCUGAGAGGGUGAUCGGCCACACUGGAACUGAGACACGGUCCAG
This 188-nucleotide ribosomal RNA is filed under the name uncultured Staphylococcus sp. Its description in RNAcentral is "partial 16S ribosomal RNA". It matches the Rfam family "Bacterial small subunit ribosomal RNA", at positions 152 to 334 of the family's 1533-position model. The record is from RNAcentral. Lineage: Bacteria; Bacillati; Bacillota; Bacilli; Caryophanales; Staphylococcaceae.